AAAGGCUGCGGUAUUUUGACCGUACAAAGGUAGCAUAAUCAUUAGUUUUUUAAUUGAGAACUUGUAUGAAUGGUUUAACGAAAUAUUAGCUGUUUCAUAAAAAUUUCAAUAGAAAUUAAUUUUUUAGUUAAAAAGCUAAAAUAUAAUUAAAAGACGAGAAGACCCUAUAGAGUUUUAUAUUAAAAUUUUUAUAAUUUAUUUAUAAUAAUUUAAGUUUUAUUGACUUUUGUAUUUUGUUGGGGUGACAGUAAAAUUUAAUAACCUUUUAUUUAUUUUUAAACAAUGAUUUUUGGUUAAUUGAUCCUUUUUUAAUGAUUAAAAGAUUAAAUUACCUUAGGGAUAACAGCG
This 348-nucleotide ribosomal RNA is filed under the name Anatella lenis. RNAcentral describes it as "partial 16S ribosomal RNA". The record is from RNAcentral. Lineage: Eukaryota; Metazoa; Arthropoda; Insecta; Diptera; Mycetophilidae.